GUAAGGGGCAAGCGUUGUCCGGAAUCACUGGGCGUAAAGCGCGCGUAGGUGGUUUGACAAGUCGGGUGUGAAAUCCCCGGGCUUAACCCGGGAACUGCGCCCGAAACUGUCUCACUGGAGGAACGGAGGGGUGCACGGAAUUCCCGGUGUAGGGGUGAAAUCCAUAGAGAUCGGGAGGAACACCAAUAGCGAAGGCAGUGCACUGGACGUUUCCUGACACUGAGGUGCGAAAGCGUGGGGAGCGAAUGGGAUUAGAUACCCCGGUAGUCCACGCCGUAAACGAUGAGAACUAGGUUUGGGUGGCUUCGACCCCAUCCGAGCCGGCGAUAACGCAUUAAGUUCUCCGCCUGGGGAGUACGACCGCAAGGUUA
Molecule: ribosomal RNA, 371 nt
Filed under: uncultured organism
Description: bacterial SSU rRNA
Rfam family: Bacterial small subunit ribosomal RNA
Source: RNAcentral